This 467-nucleotide unclassified non-coding RNA is filed under the name Hevea brasiliensis (rubber tree). Lineage: Eukaryota; Viridiplantae; Streptophyta; Magnoliopsida; Malpighiales; Euphorbiaceae. The record is from RNAcentral.
GACACUUCAUUUCCUAGCAUCAAACAGGAUCCACAUGUCUUCUGUUUCCGACCCUCUUCAAAAUAACAGCUUUGUGCUUUUUCCUAUUUGUUCUACAGUUGGCCAUCAUUAAUUAGGAAAACGAAUAUGAAUUUACGGUCAGUCCACAGCACUAGCCCAAGUGAUAAAAGGUAAGAACCCAUAAUGAAAAGUUGUUCAUUUGUUACAUGGUUUUAAGUCCUGACUUGUAUAUCGAUGAAGUAAAUGUGAUCAACACAUAAGGAAACUAUUCAAAUCAUUAAAGGACGUAAAACUACACAAGAAAAGAUGAGAGGGGGUGGGGGAACUAUGCUAUAGCCAAAUGCACAGUUUAGUUAUAAAAUCACCUUCUUAGCAAUGUUUUACAAUUAUACAUAAAAAAAAAGGUGUAGAGAGACUCUGCGAUUGCUCUCUCUUCCAACCCUGAACCUUUGACCUUGAAAAUAGUU